UACGUAGGGUGCAAGCGUUAAUCGGAAUUACUGGGCGUAAAGCGUGCGCAGGCGGUUUUGUAAGUCUGUCGUGAAAUCCCCGGGCUCAACCUGGGAAUUGCGAUGGAGACUGCAAGGCUAGAAUCUGGCAGAGGGGGGUAGAAUUCCACGUGUAGCAGUGAAAUGCGUAGAGAUGUGGAGGAACACCGAUGGCGAAGGCAGCCCCCUGGGCCAGCACUGACGCUCAUGCACGAAAGCGUGGGGAGCAAACAGG
Molecule: ribosomal RNA, 253 nt
Filed under: uncultured bacterium
Lineage: Bacteria
Description: partial 16S ribosomal RNA
Rfam family: Bacterial small subunit ribosomal RNA
Source: RNAcentral